RNAcentral lists this ribosomal RNA (253 nucleotides) under uncultured bacterium. RNAcentral describes it as "partial 16S ribosomal RNA". It matches the Rfam family "Bacterial small subunit ribosomal RNA", at positions 524 to 776 of the family's 1533-position model. The record is from RNAcentral.
UACGUAGGGUGCGAGCGUUAAUCGGAAUUACUGGGCGUAAAGCGUGCGUAAGCGGUUCCUCAAGUCCGUUGUGAAAGCCCCGGGCUCAACCUGGGAAUGGCAGUGGAAACUAGGGGACUGGAAUCUGGCAGAGGGGGGUGGAAUGCCGCGUGUAGCAGUGAAAUGCGUAGAGAUGCGGCGGAACACCGAUGGCGAAGGCAGCCCCCUGGGCUGAGAUUGACGCUCAGGCACGAAAGCGUGGGGAGCAAACAGG